CUAAAACCCAACACAACUAUAGCUCUGAGCAGCAAAGGAUUAUGGAGUUUGUCAAUAAAUAAUUCGCACCUCGGGAAAGCCGCUGUCCCCUUCUUCUGGAGACAGUGUGGCAUUAUGCUGCCUCUCGCAGAUCAAUCUUGGUUGUGUGACGGACAUCACGUUUGAGGGAGGAGCUUCUUGAUUAUUUGUGGUGCUAUCGUUAUGUGUGUGGUGUGCUGUGUU
Long non-coding RNA from Phyllopteryx taeniolatus (common seadragon), 222 nucleotides. RefSeq lists it as uncharacterized. The record is from RefSeq and is a predicted model, not a curated record. The transcript has 3 exons. Lineage: Eukaryota; Metazoa; Chordata; Actinopteri; Syngnathiformes; Syngnathidae.